GUCUUAAUAGUAUAAACAUUACAAUGGUCUUGUAAACCAUAAAUGGGGAUACACCCCUUAAGACU
This 65-nucleotide transfer RNA is filed under the name Macroscelides proboscideus (short-eared elephant shrew). RNAcentral's name for it is "transfer RNA-Thr". Lineage: Eukaryota; Metazoa; Chordata; Mammalia; Macroscelidea; Macroscelididae. The record is from RNAcentral.